This 357-nucleotide ribosomal RNA is filed under the name uncultured Desulfobulbus sp. Its description in RNAcentral is "bacterial SSU rRNA". It matches the Rfam family "Bacterial small subunit ribosomal RNA", at positions 1025 to 1382 of the family's 1533-position model. The record is from RNAcentral. Lineage: Bacteria; Pseudomonadati; Thermodesulfobacteriota; Desulfobulbia; Desulfobulbales; Desulfobulbaceae.
AACUCUGACACAGGUGCUGCAUGGCUGUCGUCAGCUCGUGUCGUGAGAUGUUGGGUUAAGUCCCGUAACGAGCGCAACCCUUGUCUUUAGUCGCCAGCAGUUCGGCUGGGCACUCUAAAGGGACUGCCGGUGUUAAACGGAGGAAGGUGGGGAGUGACGUCAAGUCCUCAUGGCCUUUAUGACCAGGGCUACACACGUACUACAAUGGCCGAUACAAAGGGCAGCGACACUGCGAGGUGAAGCCAAUCCCGUAAAAUCGGUCUCAGUCCGGAUUGGAGUCUGCAACUCGACUCCAUGAAGUUGGAAUCGCUAGUAAUCGUGGAUCAGCAUGCCACGGUGAAUACGUUCCCGGGCCUU